Long non-coding RNA from Lepus europaeus (European hare), 608 nucleotides. RefSeq lists it as uncharacterized. NCBI's taxonomy places the organism in Eukaryota, Metazoa, Chordata, Mammalia, Lagomorpha, Leporidae. The record is from RefSeq and is a predicted model, not a curated record. The transcript is spliced from 2 exons.
UAAAGCCUACUAUCUGUAAACAACCUUGUAUACUACUUAUGGACUCACUAAGAGGCCCUUCCAGAUCAAAUGUUGUCAAGAUUCUAAGAGAAAUCCAAUUCUCAAUUUUGAACUACCUAUGAAUUUGGCAAACUGGUUUCCUCCCCCAAGAAUGAGAACAAAGAGAGAAGAAAUCCGAAAUAUAAUUCUGAAGCUGCAGGAAGAUCAGAGCAAAGAGAAAAAGAAACAUAAAGAUAGUUCCCCAACAGAAGCAUCUUUAGGCGAAGGAGCAGAACAAUAUGUCAGCAGUAUCUCAGAUUGACAUGACUGUGCUUGCCAGUUCUUCAUUCAAAAACCAAUGACUUUCAGCUUUGGGUAUAGACAGUAAAGAACUGAAGUGCUCACUACUCAGUGAUUUGAAAUGUUAAUGCUUGUAUAAAUGUCAUAUAAUUAAUUUCCAAAGGAAUAUGUAUUAAGUAAAAGUUUGUAAAUAUGUUAAUGAGGCCAAUUUUUCCAGCAUUUAUAAUUAUUUUUUUCACUUGUUAGGAAGCUUUUGUUAUGUAUUUUUCUGUUAAUAGUACUUAAAACUGCAACUUCUAAACACAAAAUAAAUAAAAAGAAAAUAUUUA